UUCAAUAGGUGGGUGCGAUGGGUCCCUGAACCUCUGUAGGGUUUAGUUCUUACCCUCUGGAGAAUUUAUCUUUCCAAGGUAUUCAAAGUACUUGUCAUAGUGGAUCAAUAUUCUUCAGAAUGUCCAGCCGAUCCGGAUCUUUCAGACUAUAUUAUGACAGAGUGCAAGAGAAUCAAUAUAUCCUUCAGACUAGAUCGUGAUUGUAUAAUGUUGUCCCUCCCAUUUGAAGGCUAACUGCUACCCUUCCUCUUUCCUUAUAGAAAAGAAUGCACCAUGAGAUGGACCAGAGCUAUCAGUCCCAUAAAGGCAGGAAUCAACACUAACUCAGACCUGUAACCAACAGCCUGUGAUCAAGCUGGAAUCCAUUCUUAAGAGACUUGAUCUUCAAUCACUAGGCGUCUCAGAACUGGCUCCAGUUUGGAACUUGGGCAACUGAUCAUGAGUUUCAACUGGGACCUCAGGUGACUGGAAACUCUGUGACAGCCUGUGGGUUCACCCUGGACACCUGGCACUCAGAAGAUAGUGGAUGUUUAUUGAAGGAGUCAAUGAGUUCCGUUUAUGAAAUUGUAAUUUUGUUCCCUGUUACUGGCCAUUAGGCAAUUGGUUUGCUUUUGAAUUACUAUUACCAAAGUAUCAAAUGUAUAUCUACAUCUACAUCUAUAUCUAUAUACUCCUGUUUAUAGCAGCAUUAUUUGCAAUAGCCAAAAGGUGGAAGUGACCCACCAGUGUCGACCCACCAGUGAACACCACUGACAGAUGAAUGAUAAAAUUACGGUUAUACAAACAAUGGAAUAUCAUCAACCUGAAAGGGAAAGACCAUGUGACAUGUCCUUGGAUAACCUUGAGCACAUUUGGAUGGGCCAAAUAGGGCAAAUAUCGUCCUAUUCCACCUGAUACGAGGCACUGAUAUUCAUAGAGACAGCGAGGGGGAGUGAAGAAUGGGGAUUUGGUGUUUCAGUUUCAGUUUGGGAAGAUGAGAAAGUUCUGGAGACGGAUGAUGGUGAUGGUUGCACCGUAACGUGAACGUGUUUAAUGCCACUGAACAUCACACUUAAAAAUGGUUGAGAUGGUUAAAUUUUGCGUUAUGUGUAUUUUACCAUAGUUCUAAAAACUA
Molecule: long non-coding RNA, 1114 nt
Organism: Acinonyx jubatus (cheetah)
Lineage: Eukaryota; Metazoa; Chordata; Mammalia; Carnivora; Felidae
Exons: 3
Source: RefSeq, a predicted model, not a curated record